Molecule: long non-coding RNA, 1165 nt
Filed under: Ananas comosus (pineapple)
Lineage: Eukaryota; Viridiplantae; Streptophyta; Magnoliopsida; Poales; Bromeliaceae
Description: long non-coding RNA (ACOM_LNC017439)
Source: RNAcentral
AUAUAUAUAUAUAUAUAAUUGAGCUAUUAUGUUUUUAAAAGUAUCAAGUCAUUGGUGCUUGUAAGUUUUCGGCCCUUGGAUUAAGGAAUAUGUGGUUAGAAUGAUGUGGGCCCUCUAGGGUUGAGUGAGUGAUUGGUUUAAUAGUAUGAUCUAACGGGUGAAAAUAAUCAAAGACGUAGGUUUAACGGUAAAAAAUUUACAAGCACCAAGUGGUUGGUACUUUUACAAGCACUAUAGCCAGACUCAUAUAUAUAUAUAUAUAUAUAUACAUAUAUAUAUAUAUAUAUAUAUAUAUAUAUAUAUAUAGUACGUCUCCCGUGCUUUCGAAAGUAUGGAGGUCUCCGUGCUUGUAAGUUGUUUUCGAUGAUAGGACAUCCGAUUCGAUGAUCGGCUCCGUUAGACAUAAUCUAUGCUAUUGGAACUAUUUAGAAACCAAAUUUUAUAAAUUUUUGACAUCAUUUACCAAACGAUCAUAGGGUCUCAAAAAUGACUAUUUUAACGGCCGAUGCGGCACGUUUUUAAGUUCAACGGUGUAGAAGUAUUCAAAUUACAUGAAACUUUAAUAGAAAAUUCUACUUAACAUCAAGAGCAAGAACAAUACUUCCGAUUUGAAAUUUGACUCCUUUAUCACUGUUUUUUAUGAGAUUUUUAUUUUUAGCUGUUCAUUUUGAGGUUACUCGUUCACCAGACAAAUGAAGUAAAAAUAUUAUAAAAUUUGGUUUGUAGAUAGUUCCAAUAGCGUAGAUCAUGUCUAACGGAACCGAUCACCGAAUUGAACGUCCUAUCAUCGAAAACAACUUACAAGCACGGAGGCAUCCGUACUUUUGAAAGCAUAAAGCCUAGCUCUCUCUCUCUCUCUCUCUCUCUCUCUCUCUCUCUCUCUCUCUCUAUAUAUAUAUAUAUAUAUAUAUAUAUAUAUAUAUAUAUGAGUUCGGCUGGGAUACUAUCGAUAGCACGAUACAUUUGGUGCUAUUAAGUUUUCUGCCGUUAGAUUUAUCUCUUUUAUUAUUUUUAACCGUUCGAUUAUACUAUUCAACUAACCACCCACUCAACCCUCGGGAGCCCACAUCAUUCUAACCACACAUCUUUUAAUCCAAUGGUAGAAAACUUAAUAGCACCAAGUGCCUCGUGCUAUUAAUAGUAUUCCAGCCUAGUUCUAUAUAUA